RNAcentral lists this ribosomal RNA (453 nucleotides) under Triticum aestivum (bread wheat). Its description in RNAcentral is "partial small subunit ribosomal RNA". Lineage: Eukaryota; Viridiplantae; Streptophyta; Magnoliopsida; Poales; Poaceae. The record is from RNAcentral.
AUGGACCUCCGCGCCGUCUGCGGCAGCUGGCGCUCCGCCACCGACGACCCCAAUGACAGCCCGGACGACCCUCGCUUCCGGCCCCGGCAGUGGGUCGUGCUCGACGACGACGUCUUCCGGAGAGAGGACACGCGCCUCCUGGUGAACACCCACACCGGCCGCUUCCUCCGCAAGGAGCUCCCUCUGCUCGCCGGCCACCGCUACGUCGCCACCACUGCCGGUGGAUUCUUCGUGCUGGCGGACUACGAUGACUAUUACGCCGCUCGCGUCCUCAACCCUUUCACAGGCCACAUGAUCCAUUUCAGGGCAACCGUGCCCUCCGACAUGGUGGAUGCUGCUGCUGUCAUCGGGUCGCCCCCCACCAUCAUCUUGCUCUGCGGCUCGGAUCGUAAGUGGUACAUGGCUAGCCCCGACAGUAGAAGUUUUGCUGUGUACCAAGAGGAGGACGCCUAG